RNAcentral lists this ribosomal RNA (253 nucleotides) under uncultured bacterium. RNAcentral describes it as "partial 16S ribosomal RNA". It matches the Rfam family "Bacterial small subunit ribosomal RNA", at positions 524 to 776 of the family's 1533-position model. The record is from RNAcentral.
UACGUAGGUGGCGAGCGUUGUCCGGAUUUAUUGGGCGUAAAGGGAGUGUAGGCGGUCUUUUAAGUCUGAUGUGAAAGCCCCCGGCUCAACCGGGGAGGGUCAUUGGAAACUGGGGAACUUGAGUGCAGAAGAGGAGAGUGGAAUUCCAUGCGUAGCGGUGAAAUGCGUAGAUAUAUGGAGGAACACCAGUGGCGAAGGCGACUCUCUGGUCUGUAACUGACGCUGAGGCUCGAAAGCGUGGGUAGCAAACAGG